AACGCACCUUGCGCUCCUUGGUAUUCCGAGGAGCAUGCCUGUUUGAGUGUUAUUAAAUUCUCAACCUUUCCAUUUUGUAAUGAAAUGCUGGAAGGCUUGGAUUGUGGAGGUUUGCAGGCUCUCGUCAGUCAGCUCCUCUGAAAUGUAUUAGCGGAGACCUGUAGUGCAUCUCCCUUGGUGUGAUAAUUAUCUACGCCUUGGUUGACUACAAAUGCUUUGCACUCUAAUCGUCGAAAGACAAUUAUCAAAUUUUAACCUCAAAUCAGGUAGGACUACCCGCUGAACUUAA
Molecule: unclassified non-coding RNA, 289 nt
Filed under: uncultured fungus
Lineage: Eukaryota; Fungi
Description: sequence contains ITS2
Rfam family: 5.8S ribosomal RNA (bases 1-52)
Source: RNAcentral